Molecule: ribosomal RNA, 334 nt
Filed under: Thalassiosira rotula
Lineage: Eukaryota; Bacillariophyta; Thalassiosirophyceae; Thalassiosirales; Thalassiosiraceae
Description: partial Bacterial small subunit ribosomal RNA
Rfam family: Bacterial small subunit ribosomal RNA
Source: RNAcentral
GUUUGAUCAUGGCUCAGAUUGAACGCUGGCGGCAGGCUUAACACAUGCAAGUCGAGCGGUAACAGGGGGUGCUUGCACCCCGCUGACGAGCGGCGGACGGGUGAGUAAUGCAUAGGAAACUGCCCAGUAGUGGGGGAUAGCCCGGGGAAACCCGGAUUAAUACCGCGUACGCCCUUCGGGGGAAAGCAGGGGAUCUUCGGACCUUGCGCUAUUGGAUGUGCCUAUGUCGGAUUAGCUAGUUGGUGGGGUAAAGGCCUACCAAGGCGACGAUCUGUAGCGGGUCUGAGAGGAUGAUCCGCCACACUGGGACUGAGACACGGCCCAGACUCCUACG